UGAAAAAUGGCAGACUUCCUUCAGAGGAAAGGUGAUCAGAGAAGCAGAGAGCCUUACUACCACCCCGCUACUCCAGAGUUUGUUGAUGUCUGCGAAGAGCCAAUAUACUGGGAAGUCUUCAGAGGAUCACCAAGAGUGGGACAGUGACAUGUCAUCUUUACUGCUACUCCUUCAUAUCCUACCACCUCAGCCUACCAGAAAGAAAACACAGAAAAUCAGCGCAGCUCAGGCCAUGGACCAUCUGAUUGUAUUUCACAAGUCCUGUAGAAGCUUGGAAGAGUACCUACAGAAGGAUAAACAUUGCC
Molecule: long non-coding RNA, 305 nt
Organism: Melanotaenia boesemani (Boeseman's rainbowfish)
Lineage: Eukaryota; Metazoa; Chordata; Actinopteri; Atheriniformes; Melanotaeniidae
Exons: 3
Source: RefSeq, a predicted model, not a curated record